This 793-nucleotide ribosomal RNA is filed under the name Leifsonia sp. BFES94. RNAcentral's name for it is "bacterial SSU rRNA". It matches the Rfam family "Bacterial small subunit ribosomal RNA", at positions 78 to 878 of the family's 1533-position model. Lineage: Bacteria; Bacillati; Actinomycetota; Actinomycetes; Micrococcales; Microbacteriaceae. The record is from RNAcentral.
GCUUGCUCUAGGGAAUUAGUGGCGAACGGGUGCAGUAACACGUGAGUAACCUGCCCUUGACUCUGGGAUAACCUCCGGAAACGGAAGCUAAUACCGGAUACGACGUACGGAGGCAUCUCCUGUACGUGGAAAGAACUUCGGUCAAGGAUGGACUCGCGGCCUAUCAGGUAGUUGGUGAGGUAACGGCUCACCAAGCCUACGACGGGUAGCCGGCCUGAGAGGGUGACCGGCCACACUGGGACUGAGACACGGCCCAGACUCCUACGGGAGGCAGCAGUGGGGAAUAUUGCACAAUGGGCGCAAGCCUGAUGCAGCAACGCCGCGUGAGGGACGACGGCCUUCGGGUUGUAAACCUCUUUUAGUAGGGAAGAAGCGAAAGUGACGGUACCUGCAGAAAAAGCACCGGCUAACUACGUGCCAGCAGCCGCGGUAAUACGUAGGGUGCGAGCGUUGUCCGGAAUUAUUGGGCGUAAAGAGCUCGUAGGCGGUCUGUCGCGUCUGCUGUGAAAACCCGAGGCUCAACCUCGGGCCUGCAGUGGGUACGGGCAGACUAGAGUGCGGUAGGGGAGAAUGGAAUUCCUGGUGUAGCGGUGGAAUGCGCAGAUAUCAGGAGGAACACCGAUGGCGAAGGCAGUUCUCUGGGCCGUAACUGACGCUGAGGAGCGAAAGCGUGGGGAGCGAACAGGAUUAGAUACCCUGGUAGUCCACGCCGUAAACGUUGGGCCGCUAGAUGUGGGGACCAUUUCCACGGGUUUCCGUGUCGCAGCUAACGCAUUAAGCGCCCCGCCUGGGG